This is a non-coding RNA of Capsicum annuum, 107 nucleotides long. NCBI's taxonomy places the organism in Eukaryota, Viridiplantae, Streptophyta, Magnoliopsida, Solanales, Solanaceae. The record is from Rfam.
AAUUCAUGGUUCGGGAAUUUCAUGAUUUUAUCCUCGAACCUUUGGCAUACUUCAAAUAAAGGCUCACCACUAUAUUGACAAAAAUAUGUGAUUUUGUCCCUUAAUUU